This 498-nucleotide ribosomal RNA is filed under the name uncultured bacterium. Its description in RNAcentral is "partial 16S ribosomal RNA". It matches the Rfam family "Bacterial small subunit ribosomal RNA", at positions 28 to 507 of the family's 1533-position model. The record is from RNAcentral.
GACGAACGCUGGCGGCGUGCCUAAUACAUGCAAGUCGAGCGGACGAAUCGAAAGCUUGCUUUUGAUUCGUUAGCGGCGGACGGGUGAGUAACACGUGGGCAACCUGCCCUGUAGACGGGGAUAACACCGAGAAAUCGGUGCUAAUACCGGAUAACACGAAAUGUCGCAUGACGUUUCGUUGAAAGACGGCGCAAGCUGUCGCUACAGGAUGGGCCCGCGGCGCACUAGCUAGUUGGUGAGGUAACGGCUCACCAAGGCGACGAUGCGUAGCCGACCUGAGAGGGUGAUCGGCCACACUGGGACUGAGACACGGCCCAGACUCCUACGGGAGGCAGCAGUAGGGAAUCUUCCGCAAUGGACGAAAGUCUGACGGAGCAACGCCGCGUGAGCGAAGAAGGCCUUCGGGUCGUAAAGCUCUGUUGUUAGGGAAGAACAAGUAACGCAGUAACUGGCGUUACCGUGACGGUACCUAACGAGAAAGCCACGGCUAACUACGUG